GAUGAACGCUGGCGGCGUGCCUAAUACAUGCAAGUCGAGCGAACAGACGAGGAGCUUUCUCCUCUGACGUUAGCGGCGGACGGGCGAGUAACACGUGGAUCACCUACCUCUAAGACUUGGAUAACUUCGGGAAACCGGAGCUACUACCGGAUAAUAUAUUGAACAGCAUGGAUCAAUAGUGAAAGACGGUUUUGCUGUCACUUAUAGAUGGAUCCGCGCCACAUUAGCUGGUUGGUAAGGUAACGGCUUACCGAGGCAACGAUGCGUAGCCGACCUGAGAGGAGGAUCCGCCAACCCUGAAAUGAGACACGGGCCCGAACCCCACGGGGAGCCACAGGGGGGAAAUCUUCCGAAAGGGAGCAAGCCUGAACGAGGCAACCCGCGGGGGUGAAGAAGGGUUUCGGGUUCUAAAACCUUUUUUUUGGGGAAGAAAAAAAGGAGUUUAAUACUAUGCUGGUCUGACGGGAACCAAAUAAGAAGGCCCGGGUAACUUCGUG
This 497-nucleotide ribosomal RNA is filed under the name uncultured bacterium. Its description in RNAcentral is "partial 16S ribosomal RNA". It matches the Rfam family "Bacterial small subunit ribosomal RNA", at positions 28 to 507 of the family's 1533-position model. The record is from RNAcentral.